GUAGGUGGCAAGCGUUGUCCGGAAUUAUUGGGCGUAAAGCGCGCGCAGGCGGUUCUUUAAGUCUGAUGUGAAAGCCCACGGCUCAACCGUGGAGGGUCAUUGGAAACUGGAGAACUUGAGUACAGAAGAGGAAAGCGGAAUUCCACGCGUAGCGGUGAAAUGCGUAGAGAUGUGGAGGAACACCAGUGGCGAAGGCGGCUUUCUGGUCUGUAACUGACGCUGAGGCGCGAAAGCGUGGGGGAGCAAACAGGAUUAGAUACCCUGGUAGUCCACGCCGUAAACGAUGAGUGCUAAGUGUUAGGGGGUUUCCGCCCCUUAGUGCUGCAGCUAACGCAUUAAGCACUCCGCCCUGGGAGUACGGCCGCAAGGCUG
Molecule: ribosomal RNA, 372 nt
Filed under: uncultured organism
Description: partial 16S ribosomal RNA
Rfam family: Bacterial small subunit ribosomal RNA
Source: RNAcentral